Molecule: non-coding RNA, 5609 nt
Organism: Oryctolagus cuniculus (rabbit)
Lineage: Eukaryota; Metazoa; Chordata; Mammalia; Lagomorpha; Leporidae
Source: RefSeq, a predicted model, not a curated record
GGCUCCAAGACUGCUUAAACAUGAUAUCCACUGGGAAUCCUCUUCCUCUGACAUUUGGGCUUCAUGCCAUUUGGACCUGGCUUAGGUCAUUUGUUCCAGUACCAACUGGUGGUAGAUUUUUUUUUUAAAGAUUUUUAUUUAUUUAUUUGAGAGGUAGGGUUAUAGACAGAGAGAGGGAGAGACAAAGAGAAAGGUCUUACAUCCACUGGUUCACUUCUCAAAUGGUUGCAACAGCCAGAGAUGGGCUGAUCUGAAGCUAGGAGCUUCUUCCAGGUCUCCCACAUGGGCACAGAGGCCAACUACUUGGUCCAUCUUCUACUGCUUUCUCAGGCCAUAGCAGAGAGCUGCAGCAGAAGAGGAGCAGCCGGGAACAGAACUGGCACCCGUAAGGGACACCAGCUCUAAGAUGGGAGGUUGGCACCUCAGGCAGAGGCUUUAGCCUAGUACGCCACAGCACCGGCCCUGGGGAGAUGAUAUUUUAAGACUCUUUGAUCAGUCAGUCCCUCCACAAGGGAAAUUUUGUUUGGAAGAGUCACUGAGUAAAAAUUUGUUUAUCUUGGGUAAAAUACAGGUAAUCAGAUGUUAAUUCCAUCCAAAUCCCUCUGAGCUGAUAAGGACAGCCAAUAUUUCUGGCCUCAUAACUAAGAAAAAUUGUGAUAAUGCAUGGAUUUGUUUGCAUUGCAUUCUAAAGAAUGAGGAGGCCCAUGAGGUCCCGUUGGUCCUUUAAAGCCAGUUGUAACUCCCACAGAAGCCCCUGGUGCAAUUGAAAGCAGGGAACAAGAAUCAGAAAAAUAAUGCACUACAAAAUAUUUCUUUAUUAAGGUGCUAACUGAAUCUGAACUGAAGAUACAAUUUUCUUUUCAUGUGUAGAUGUUCAACUCUUUUACUGGGACUAGAGUUAUUUUCCAAACUAAAUGCUUAUGUUAAGAUUUUAUUCCUGCCAGUCCCAAUUGAGAAAAAAAUUAUGGUUAAUUAAAUUAUUGAAAGAAUUCUGUUAUGUCGAUAAUUUUCAAAAGGAGUUAAAUAUUUUAUAAAGGGGCGAUGAAGUAGGCAGGCAUACAGGCUAAAAUUGACUAGUGAACUGGAAGACCAUGUCUUCGCCAUGCCCCUGUGUGAUGUCAUGCCCCUACCUGAUACCUUCACCACACCCCUGUGUGACCUCAUCCCCCUACCUAGCCACACCUGGGUGCCAACCAGCCAAUCAGGUUAAUUAACCACUCCCCUUUGGAAGUGGGUUAAAAGCCUGGGACACAGUGUGUCUGGGCCUUCUUUUCUUGCCUGGUCUCCUGCCAGGACGGGCUUGCUGUAGCCCUGUGCCUCCAGGACAUGUGCCCUCAGGCCAUGUGCUUUAGGCUUCCUGGCCUAGAUGCUCCUCCAUGUGGCUGGUUCCUGGUGCUCAGUAUGAACCAUAUUUACCUAACUCUCAGCCUCUGCUUUGCUGCCAGUGGUAAGCAGUGAAUAGCAGCUUGAGGUGCUUGCUGCACGUGGCUUUUGUCUGUUCCCUGCUUGGUAUGGAUGCUACCCUGGUUUCUAGACUUUCCUCCCUCUCCUACCAGAACUAAACCCUCACUUUCCUAGAUACCUCUCGCACUAAAUAAAAGCCUAAAACAUACCAUGCUGCUUCGUUAAUCUGUGCCGGUAUUUAGAAUUCUUCUCUAAAUAUUAGGCAAGAACCCUCUUGGGCUUAUUAAUAUUGGGGAUUAAUAAGUUCAUGGUGAAAUCAUGUGGCACCCCAAAUUCUGGUAACACAUGUGGCACCCAGAUAGCACUUCUGGGAAACUUAAGGCCCACAUUUCAGUGUGGAAUUUAGGGGGUCGUGUCUGAUUUCAAAAUGACAUUAUUCCUUCUCAUGAUAUAUGCUAUAUAUAUGUGUGUAUUUGUUGUAUAUUGUAUAUUAUGUUGUAUAUUGUAUAUUAUGUCUGAAUGGUAAAAAAUUCCUUAAGAGCUUUGUUUUAACUGACAUAGGCAAAUGAGUGUUCACAUAAAUUAAAACUAUUUAAUUAACCCAAAUAUCUUUUUUUUUUUUUGAGAGGAAGAGUUAGAGACAGAGAAAGGUCUUCCUUUUUCUGUUGGUUCAUCCCACAGUGGCCGCUGCAGCCAGCACUGCACAGAUCCGAAGCCAGGAGCCAGGCGCUUCCUCUUGGUCUCCCAUGCGGGUGCAGGGCCCAAGCACUUGGGCCAUCCUCCACUGCACUUCCAGGGCCACAGCAGAGAGCUGAACUGGAAAAGGAGCAUCUGGGACAGAAUCCGGCACUCCGACCAGGACUAGAACCUGGGGUGCCGGCGCCGCAGGAGGAUGAUUAGCCUAGUGAGCAGUGGUGCCGGCCUCAAAUAUCUUUUGAUUCAUGUGACCUAAGCUGUUGCUGCCUUCUUGCAAUAAACCUUUUCCUCUGGCCAGGCCUCAUCUUUGGUGAAUUGAAGCGGCGAGCAUCAAGAGCUGGAUUGUUCACUCAAUAACCACAUUGGUGAGCGAUCCAGAAGCUGGGUGUAUUCUUCCAGUGGCCUGACCCUCUCACACUGAUGCCUCUGAUGAAAUUGACUGUGAGGAACAAGAAUUAAUACGAUAAAAGGUGUUUUUUGAGCAGAGUGCCAACUGAACCUGAAAUGAAGAUAUAAUUAUCUUUGUGUAUGUUAGUGUCCAGUACCAUCACUGGGACUAGAGUUGCUUUCCAAGUUAAAUGCUCAAUUUUUCAGGCAAUCUAAGUAUAAGUGCUCAAAAUGAAUUGGUGGUCUUUGCUUUCUCUGCACUUUGCUGUGGCACCUUGUGCAUCAUCAUGUCCUUGCAACCUAAGGGUGUCUCCCUCUCAUCAUCUGCCUGAGAAAUGGACUCAAGUAUGCAGUGACUGGAGAGGAGGUAAAGAACUGUAUGCAGUGCUUGAUCAGAAUCAGCAACCAGGUUCAAAAACUGAUGUUGCAUACCUUGCUGCAUUCAUGGAUACAUGUGAGAUGGAGCAAACAUUGGCUAGCAUCAAGAAGACAGGAACUAAGAAACAGAGCAAAAGGGAGAGAGAAGCACAGGGAUCUCCUAUCAACUGGCUUUCUCCAGCUACCGCAAUACCUGGACGCCACUAGCCUAAGGCCUAGCACUUAGAACUCAAGCCAGAUAAGAUCCUGGAGACAUCUACAUGUACCUGAGACAAACAAAAAUGAAUUUAUUGCCAGUAAGUUAUUUAUUCCUCAGCUUCUUUCACAUUGUAGUUUAUUUUAUUUUAUUUUAUUUUUUUGACAGGGAGAGUUAGACAGUGAGAGACAGAGAGAAAAGUUUUCCUUCCGUUGCUUCACCCCCGAAAUGGCCGCUACAGCUGGUGCCCCAGCUCCAGUUCUUUGUGACCAUUUUGAGAGUGAACCAGUGGGUGGAAGACUUCUCUGUUUCUCCCUCUCUGUAACUCUACUAAGAAGGAGAAGAAGAAGAAAAACAUGCAGAACACAAACUGGUGCCCGUAUGUGAUGGUGGCACCAUAAGUGGACAUAUAGCAUACUAUGCCACAACACUGGCACUGAGAGAGAGACCGUGACUUUCAGUCAACUGAUUUACACUCCAAACACCCACAGCAGGCAGGGCUGAGACAGGGUCAUAGGUGAGAACCAGGAAUGUAGUCCUGGCCUCUCACUUGAGUUGAGAAGCCUACAUUCUAGAGUUGUCAACACUGACUUCUAGUGUCUAGAUUUGCAAAAUCUAAAAUUAGGAGCCAGCCCUGAAAGCACAGCUGGAAAUGCUGCUGUGGGACCAGGGCAUUAGGCUAAAUGACUCUUUUCCCUUGCCAUGAUAGAAACUGCUGCACGCCUUCUCCUGGAAGUUAACCUGUUUGUAUCAUGACAUCACUGAAAGUUUCUUCUCUUUUUACUGGUGUCCUAUUGAUUGCAUUCUGCAAUUCACCUUGACAGGUUGACCCUAUAUCAUCUGACACAUCUGUAUCUCCAGCUUGGGCUUCUUGCACAGCAUGUAGACCACUAUAUUUACUCCCUGUUGAGUGUUUCCUUAUAGCCAUCCAAAUGGCACCUCAAGCUGCUCAAAUCUAAAAUGAAAACCUGGGGCUGACAUUGUGACAUUGUGGUAUAGUGGGUUAAACAGCUGCCUAGGAUGCCAGCAUCCCUUAAGGAUUUUGGUUUGUUUCCUGGUUGCUCCAUUUCCAAUCCAGCUCCCUGUUUAGCAUACCUGUGCAAGCAGCAGAAGUUAGUCCACCGGCGCCAUGGCUCACUAGGUUAAUCCUCCACCUUGUGGCACCGGCACACCGGGUUCUAGUCCCAGUUGGGGCACCAGAUUCUGUCCCGGUUGCCCCUCUUCCAGGCCAGCUCUCUGUUGUGGCCAGGGAGUGCAGUGGAGGAUGGCCCAAGUGCUUGGGCCCUGCACCCCAUAGGAGACCAGGAGAAGCACCUGGCUCCUGCCAUUGGAUCAGCGCAGUGCGCCAGCUGCAGCACACCAUUGGCGGCCCUUGGAGGGUGAACCAACGGCAAAAGGAAGACCUUUCUCUCUGUCUCUCUCUCUCACUGUCCACUCUGCCUGUCAAAAAAAAAAAAAAAAAAAAAAAAAGAAGUUAGUCUGUGGGGAGCAACUCGGACUAGACUGUUACUGGAAUUAAGACUUAUUCUAUGCAUCUGCUCUCCCACAAUAUGGCGCUGGGAGAGGAGUAAACAGCUUCUACCCAGCUGCCUCUCACCAACUUGACAAGCUGCAGGAGCUGCUCCUGAUUGGAGGAGAGCGGCGUGCUCAGCGUGUGGGCAGCCGAGUUAGGAUUGGCGGAGGAGGACUAUAAAGGAGGAGAGAGACGGCAUUCACCAGGAACAUCUAUAGGGAAUAUCUAUGGGGAACAUCUAGCUGAAGGAACACCUGUGCAGCCCCCGAGAGAGCCGGCCGGCGGUGUGCCGCUCCCCUGUGGAAGUGGGGAAUGUGGCCAGGGGGAACUGCCCUUCCACGGAGGUGGAAGGGAUAGUACCCAACCCGGGAAGAACCAGCAGCAAACCCAGGGAGGGCCGAGCAGACGAAAGAACAGCGCAGGGUCCUGUGUUGCUCCUCCACGAAGACGGGGAGCGACAUAAUGGUGCCGUGACUCGGAUAUGAAGCCUAGGCAGGGUUUAGUGUCGUUCCUCCAUGAAGAGGGGGAGCGACAUAAUGGUGCCGUGACUCGGAUAGGAAACCUAGCUCGGAUAGGAAACCUAGAACGGAUAGCAAACUUAGGAGGGAAGAAACGGGAAGAACUGGGAAAAUAUCGGAGAGAGAGACUAGCAAACAGCCUAGGGAAAAGCCGGACGAAAAGGGUGCCGGAAGAAGCUAUUGAAAGCCUAGGCGUAGACUCAGAUACGGACUACGAGGGGAAGCUGGGAGAAAUCUCUAAGGUCGAAAGCGAAAGUGAAAGCUAGAACAAACAGACUCGGAUGCGGACUGUGGGGAGAGGCCAGGAGAAAUGAGGGAGGAGUAUUGUUGGAGGAAAGCUUGGGGAAACAUACCGGGUAGAGAAAAUGUUAGGGAAAUUGAAGCCGCGGGGGGCAGGCCAAGGCGGAAACGGAAGCCAUUUUGGGAUUCUCAAGUUAGCCCGGGAAUAGGGGGCGAAAGGUUGAAACCAGAAGCUGAAACGUAAGCCAGAUUGGGAUCCGUCUGAUUAGCCCGGGGA